CAGCACCUCAAGUGGUCAGGAUGAUUAUCGGGCCUAAAGCAUCCGUAGCCGGCGCUGUAAGUUUUCGGUUAAAUCUGUACGCUCAACGUACAGGCUGCCGGGAAUACUGCAGCGCUAGGGAGUGGGAGAGGUAGACGGUACUCGGUAGGAAGGGGUAAAAUCCUUUGAUCUAUUGAUGACCACCUGUGGCGAAGGCGGUCUACCAGAACACGUCCGACGGUGAGGGAUGAAAGCUGGGGGAGCAAACCGGAUUAGAGACCCGAGUAGUCC
This 270-nucleotide ribosomal RNA is filed under the name uncultured archaeon. RNAcentral describes it as "partial 16S ribosomal RNA". It matches the Rfam family "Archaeal small subunit ribosomal RNA", at positions 477 to 747 of the family's 1478-position model. The record is from RNAcentral.